RNAcentral lists this ribosomal RNA (119 nucleotides) under Oreochromis aureus. Lineage: Eukaryota; Metazoa; Chordata; Actinopteri; Cichliformes; Cichlidae. The record is from RNAcentral.
GCUUACGGCCAUACCACCCUGAACACGCCCGAGCUCGUCUGAUCUUGGAAGCUAAGCAGGGUUGGGGAUUGUUAGUACUUGAAUGGGAGACUGCCUGGGAAUACCAGGUGCUGUAAGGU